This 292-nucleotide ribosomal RNA is filed under the name uncultured bacterium. Its description in RNAcentral is "partial 16S ribosomal RNA". It matches the Rfam family "Bacterial small subunit ribosomal RNA", at positions 505 to 796 of the family's 1533-position model. The record is from RNAcentral.
GUGCCAGCCGCCGCGGUAAUACGUAGGGCCCGAGCGUUAUCCGGUAUUAUUGGGCGUAAAGAGCGCGUAGGUGGUUUGGUAAGACAGUGGUGAAAUAUCUGAGCUCAACUCAGGGAACGCCACUGUUACUGCCAGACUUGACGAUAGCAGGGGCAAGCAGAAUUCUCGGUGUAGGGGUGAAAUCCGUUGAGAUCGAGAGGAAUACCAAUGGCGAAGGCAGCUUGCUAGGCUAUAUGUGACACUGAGGCGCGAAAGCGUGGGGAGCGAACGGGAUUAGAAACCCCCGUAGUCC